RNAcentral lists this long non-coding RNA (712 nucleotides) under Androctonus crassicauda. Lineage: Eukaryota; Metazoa; Arthropoda; Arachnida; Scorpiones; Buthidae. The record is from RNAcentral.
AUUGAACCAAAAAGAUUUUUUUUAUUAUAAAAUACUUUCAGAUAUUAACUCAUUAUCAAUACACUACAUUUUGAAAAAGCUACAAUUGGAAAACAUUUCCAAAUACAUGACUAUUCAUAAAUCUCAUCCACAUCAUACUAAAUAACACUACCUUUUCCCUCUUACUACAAGAAAAAUAACUUGUACAUGCACACCAACCCACAAAAGGAAACUUAUUAAAAUGAACAUUACACAAGCAAGACAAGAAUUAAAUAUUAACAAAAAUACAAAAAUUAUAUCAAAAAGUAAGAUAAGACAUAAACAUAAUACCAAUAUAAAUAAAACAUAAUGAAUCAUGGUGGCAUAUCUAUACAAUGCCUAUAAUCCAUGCAUCUUAAAGGCAUUGAAGGCCAAGAAGGCAUGAAUAUCAGAAACAAUUUCUUUUGUAUGGACAUUAUACAGCAGAUGGAAUUCCACUUUAUAAAAUCUGGUAGAAGUCAAAAUUUAAAGAACUUAUGUUUGUUGGUACUGAUUAAUUUUUUCAGACACUUAGUCCUAAUAGAUUUCAUUAAGGAAGAGCAAUUAUCAGAAAAUUUAAUGCUUAGAAUACAGUUCAGAUAAACUCUAUAGUACAUUGAUCCAUAAAGUUUAAAAAUUUUAAUGAUACAAAUUUGUACUUCAGUGUUAGCUUAGCCAUAGGAUCCAUAAUAAACAAAAUUUGUUGUUCUGUGUU